RNAcentral lists this ribosomal RNA (721 nucleotides) under Dissingia confusa. RNAcentral describes it as "partial 28S large subunit ribosomal RNA". It matches the Rfam family "Eukaryotic large subunit ribosomal RNA", at positions 69 to 803 of the family's 3401-position model. Lineage: Eukaryota; Fungi; Ascomycota; Pezizomycetes; Pezizales; Helvellaceae. The record is from RNAcentral.
CAGGGAUUGCCCCAGUAACGGCGAGUGAAGCGGCAAGAGCUCAAAUUUUAAAUCUGGGGUCUCCGGCCCCCGAGUUGUAAUUUGGAGAGGCAUCUUCGGGAGGAGCGCUGGCCAAUGUUCCUUGGAACAGGACGUCGCAGAGGGUGAGAAUCCCGUGCCAGGCCAGCCGCGCCCUUCCACGUGAAGCGCCUUCGACGAGUCGAGUUGUUUGGGAAUGCAGCUCCAAGUGGGUGGUAAAUUUCAUCUAAAGCUAAAUACCGGCGAGAGACCGAUAGCGCACAAGUAGAGUGAUCGAAAGAUGAAAAGCACUUUGAAAAUAGAGUCAAAAAGUACGUGAAAUUGUUGAAAGGGAAGCGCUUGAGACCAGACUCGGAGCGAGGCAAACAUCUGGCCCCGCGGGGCCGUGCACUUGCCUCGGGCCGGGCCAGCAUCAGUUGGUGCGGCGGGAGAAAGGCGCGGGGAAUGUGGCUCCCCUCGGGGAGUGUUAUUAGCCCCGUGCUCAAUGCCGCCCGCACCGACUGAGGACCGCGCUUCGGCUAGGAUGCUGGCUUAAUGGCCUUCAGCGACCCGUCUUGAAACACGGACCAAGGAGUCUAACAUCUAUGCGAGUGUUUGGGUGCCAAACCCUUUCGCGGAAUGAAAGUGAACGGAGGUGGGAACCCCUCGCCGGGCGCACCAUCGACCGAUCCUGAUGUCUUCGGAUGGAUUUGAGUAGGAGCAU